Molecule: long non-coding RNA, 812 nt
Organism: Drosophila ananassae
Lineage: Eukaryota; Metazoa; Arthropoda; Insecta; Diptera; Drosophilidae
Exons: 3
Source: RefSeq, a predicted model, not a curated record
GGAUAGCUGAACGAAGAUAAAGCAGGCGUCAUUAAUCUUUGAUCGAAAGUUGGAGUAACUUGAUCUGAGAUCUCCAAAGCCCACAUCAUUUCCAGCACCCUGGGGGCUCCACUUUCGCUUACAUUUUCUCCUCAACGCCUAAUCAUCCUAACUUGAUUUCGAUCUAAGAAAAUUGAUAUUUUGCAAUAGCAAUUUGCAAUUUUCUAUAAAAACAGGAUUCCAACACCCACGGGGAUAUAAGUUUGAUGGUCAUUGUGACAAUGGAUAAGCCAAGCAGUGCAGCAAGCACACUGGGUUACUUUGAAAAAUAAUUUAAAUGGCGGUGAACGACCAAAAUUUGACCAAGACGAAUUAAAGACGUGGCUCUGCAUCUCGCAGCUUUAUGGACCCUGGAAUCUAAUUCAUAUUAACCUCCUAAAAUAGGGCUCCAUUCAUUUCGAGGAUGACUUGCGGGAUCUGCUGUUUCAUCCGGAGCGGUAUACUGGCUGUCGUGGAGUGUCUGCGCACCGAAUCUGGAAGAGCAUCUAUCUGUUGUCCGAGUUAAAGGACUUCCUCCACCCACGUUAUGGUGUUUGGUUACCCAGUUUGGUUACCCACGUUUGGUUACCCACGUUUGGUUACCCAGUUACGCUCCAUCUCGCACUCAAAUCCGAAGACUGCGAGACAUUCCAAUAUUCAUUCCACUGAUCCCAUUUACCAGACAUCUCUUCUAUGACAAAAUAUGGCAAAAACCAUACUAUUGACAAGUGAAAACAAGGCAGAUAAUGAAUAGAUAUUAAAAAAUAAUACAUUUGGCUCUGCAAAACCUUUUA